This 504-nucleotide ribosomal RNA is filed under the name Sordariomycetes sp. HaIV. RNAcentral describes it as "SSU rRNA". It matches the Rfam family "Eukaryotic small subunit ribosomal RNA", at positions 218 to 725 of the family's 1831-position model. Lineage: Eukaryota; Fungi; Ascomycota; Sordariomycetes. The record is from RNAcentral.
UAAAACAAUGCCCUCGCGGGCUUUUUAGGUGAUUCAUAAUAACUUCUCGAAUCGCAUGGCCUUGCGCCGGCGAUGCUCAAAUUUCUGCCCUAUCAACUUUCGAUGGCAGGGUCUUGGCCUGCCAUGGUUACAACGGGUAACGGAGGGUUAGGGCUCGACCCCGGAGAAGGAGCCUGAGAAACGGCUACUACAUCCAAGGAAGGCAGCAGGCGCGCAAAUUACCCAAUCCCGACACGGGGAGGUAGUGACAAUAAAUACUGAUACAGGGGCUCUUUUGGGUCUUGUAAUUGGAAUGAGUACAAUUUAAAUCCCUUAACGAGGAACAAUUGGAGGGCAAGUCUGGUGCCAGCAGCCGCGGUAAUUCCAGCUCCAAUAGCGUAUAUUAAAGUUGUUGCAGUUAAAAAGCUCGUAGUUGAACCUUGGGCCUGGCUGGCCGGUCCGCCUCACCGCGUGCACUGGUUCGGCCGGGCCUUUCCCUCUGGGGAGCCCUAUGCCCUUCACUGG